AACACCCUCUCGUGAGGGGGCUUGACGGUACUGUAUGAAUAAGGAUCGGCUAACUCCGUGCCAGCAGCCGCGGUAAUACGGAGGAUCCAAGCGUUAUCCGGAAUCAUUGGGUUUAAAGGGUCCGUAGGCGGGACAAUAAGUCAGUGGUGAAAGUCUGCAGCUCAACUGUAGAACUGCCAUUGAUACUGUUGUUCUUGAGUAAUUAUGAAGUGGUUAGAAUAUGUAGUGUAGCGGUGAAAUGCAUAGAUAUUACAUAGAAUACCGAUUGCGAAGGCAGAUCACUAAUAAUUUACUGACGCUGAUGGACGAAAGCGUAGGUAGCGAACAGGAUUAGAUACCCUGGUAGUCUACGCCGUAAA
Molecule: ribosomal RNA, 359 nt
Filed under: uncultured Salinimicrobium sp.
Lineage: Bacteria; Pseudomonadati; Bacteroidota; Flavobacteriia; Flavobacteriales; Flavobacteriaceae
Description: bacterial SSU rRNA
Rfam family: Bacterial small subunit ribosomal RNA
Source: RNAcentral